This is a long non-coding RNA of Sapajus apella (tufted capuchin), 142 nucleotides long. RefSeq lists it as uncharacterized. The record is from RefSeq and is a predicted model, not a curated record. The transcript has 4 exons. NCBI's taxonomy places the organism in Eukaryota, Metazoa, Chordata, Mammalia, Primates, Cebidae.
UAGAAAUGGCAAAAGAACGAGAAUUAGAAGUAGAGCUUGCAGAUGUGACUGAAUUGCUGUAAUCUCAUGAUAAAACUUGGAUGGAUGAGGAAUUGCUUUUCAUGGAUGUGCAAAGAAAAGUUUUUUAACUUUUAGGAUGGGG